Molecule: ribosomal RNA, 433 nt
Filed under: uncultured bacterium
Lineage: Bacteria
Description: partial 16S ribosomal RNA
Rfam family: Bacterial small subunit ribosomal RNA
Source: RNAcentral
AACGAACGCUGGCGGCAUGCCUAACACAUGCAAGUCGAACGAGACCUUCGGGUCUAGUGGCGCACGGGUGCGUAACGCGAGGGAACCUGCCCUUAGGUUCGGAAUAACUCCCCGAAAGGGGUGCUAAUACCGGAUAAUGUCUACGGACCAAAGAUUUAUCGCCCUUGGAUGGGCCCGCGUUGGAUUAGCUAGUUGUUAGGGUAAAAGCCUAACAAGGCGACGAUCCAUAGCUGGUCAGAAAGGAUGAUCAGCCACACUGGGACUGAGACACGGCCCAGACUCCUACGGGAGGCAGCAGUGGGGAAUAUUGGACAAUGGGCGGAAGCCUGAUCCAGCAAUGCCGCGUGAGUGAUGAAGGCAUGAGGGUUGUAAAGCUCUUUUACCCGGGAUGAUAAUGACAGUACCGGGAGAAUAAGCCCCGGCUAACUCCGUG